This is a non-coding RNA of Podarcis lilfordi (Lilford's wall lizard), 78 nucleotides long. Lineage: Eukaryota; Metazoa; Chordata; Lepidosauria; Squamata; Lacertidae. The record is from the annotation of a GenBank genome assembly.
GUCCACUGUAUAUGUAUAUGUAUAUACAUAUGUAUAUGUAUAUGUAUAUGUAUAUGUAUAUGUAUAUGUAUAGCUCAG